RNAcentral lists this ribosomal RNA (680 nucleotides) under Mycobacterium sp. RNAcentral describes it as "partial 23S ribosomal RNA". It matches the Rfam family "Bacterial large subunit ribosomal RNA", at positions 2253 to 2925 of the family's 2925-position model. Lineage: Bacteria; Bacillati; Actinomycetota; Actinomycetes; Mycobacteriales; Mycobacteriaceae. The record is from RNAcentral.
AGUGCCUGGUGGGUAGUUUAACUGGGGCGGUUGCCUCCUAAAAUGUAACGGAGGCGCCCAAAGGUUCCCUCAACCUGGACGGCAAUCAGGUGUUGAGUGUAAAUGCACAAGGGAGCUUGACUGCGAGACCUACAAGUCAAGCAGGGACGAAAGUCGGGAUUAGUGAUCCGGCACCUCUGAGUGGAAGGGGUGUCGCUCAACGGAUAAAAGGUACCCCGGGGAUAACAGGCUGAUCUUCCCCAAGAGUCCAUAUCGACGGGAUGGUUUGGCACCUCGAUGUCGGCUCGUCGCAUCCUGGGGCUGGAGCAGGUCCCAAGGGUUGGGCUGUUCGCCCAUUAAAGCGGCACGCGAGCUGGGUUUAGAACGUCGUGAGACAGUUCGGUCUCUAUCCGCCGCGCGCGUCAGAAACUUGAGGAAACCUGUCCCUAGUACGAGAGGACCGGGACGGACGAACCUCUAGUGCACCAGUUGUUCCACCAGGAGCACCGCUGGAUAGCUACGUUCGGACAGGAUAACCGCUGAAAGCAUCUAAGCGGGAAACCUUCUCCAAGAUCAGGUUUCUCACCCUCUAGGAGGGAUAAGGCCCCCAGCAGAACACUGGAUUGAUAGGCCAGACCUGGAAGCUCAGUAAUGAGUGCAGGGAACUGGCACUAACCGGCCGAAAACUUACCAACACAACC